UGCUGUCUGUGUGUGUGCCUUUUAAUCUCCGACGACGAACCUUGGCCUUUCAAAAAAUCAUUCCAUUCCUUGUUCCAGUCCUUCUCAUUCUUACGUGGAGACCUGCUUUUCCAGGUUCUCAGAAAAUGUCCAUUCACUCCCCUCUUCUGAUCAAACAGGUAUUUCCUGCAAGUCUCCUCUAACCCAGGCCUGGCAGAGGCCCAGAGAGGCAGAGGCAGGCCUUAUCAGAAGGAUCCUCUGGAGAAUGGAGGUGCCUCUCAGACCCGGGAGAGGCCAGCUCCUUUUCUAUGGCAAAGACCAAGAUUCAUUCUCAUCAAUUUUAUUUUCUUCAUUUUCUCUCGGUGUGCCAACCUUUUUAGAAUAAAACUCAUUUUAAUUUCACAAGACAAUUCAAGAAGGAAGCAACAAAAUUGGCUUAAUUUAACUUUACAAACUUGAAUAGAAACAUGCUUUUAGCAUCCAAGUAUCCCUUUUUACUUUGACUCCUGGGAAGCUCAGAUGUAGAUCAGUGCCCAGUGAGUAAUCCGAUGUCUCACACUCACAUUGAACUCUCCCUUCCGUCUGGUUUCUCGGCCCCAUUCUACUUGCGCCUGCUCUUCUGAAGCACUCACUGCAGGGAAGCCAUCGCACAGCCUUUUGUGAAGUGAGGCACAAAUGACAAACAAUUCUGUGAAAGAUGCAAAUGUGCGGUGACAGAAAUCAGCUGGCACAACAGCCAACAGGUGGGAGUGACCGCAGUGACCAUCAAUGGAUGAAUGGACACACAAAACAAGAUAAAUGCACUCAGCCUUGGGAAGGCAGGGAAUUGCCACCUGCCACAACACGGUGAACCUCGAGGUCAGCAUGGCCAGAGACACAUGCUGUCCCAGGACGGAUCCCGAGUGACCGCAGGCGUGUAGUGUCUUCUUCUGUCCCGCGGCGUGCUAAUGGGGAGGUCAAGUGUCCACUCUUCCUUGUCACGUGAUAUUCCACCGUAUGUCACAGCUGCUGUGGCCUCCUUGCCCAUGACCGUUGUUGGACACACACAUCCUUUCCUGCUGGGUCUUCCAGUGCUAUAUGGAACAGGAGCGGUGAGAGGGAAAACAGCAAGAAACUGUAAACAGUUCCAUUCACUCAAGAGUGGGUCACCCCCCAACACACACACACACACACACACACACACACACACACACACACACUACGGCUAGUUACCUUGAGUCUCCAAUGUUCCACCAACCUUCGUUUCUGAAUAAACUCCACUUGGACAUGAGCUAUCA
Ictidomys tridecemlineatus (thirteen-lined ground squirrel) is the source of this 1256-nucleotide non-coding RNA. Lineage: Eukaryota; Metazoa; Chordata; Mammalia; Rodentia; Sciuridae. The record is from RefSeq and is a predicted model, not a curated record.